GUGCUCGCUCUGGCAGCACAUAGACUAAAAUUGGAGCGACACAGAGAUUAGCAUGGCCCUGCGCAAGGACGACACGCAAAUUCGUGAAGCAUUCCAUAUUUUU
Molecule: small nuclear RNA, 103 nt
Organism: Myotis myotis
Lineage: Eukaryota; Metazoa; Chordata; Mammalia; Chiroptera; Vespertilionidae
Source: RefSeq, a predicted model, not a curated record